AUUGAACGCUGGCGGCAGGCCUAACACAUGCAAGUCGAGCGGAGCGGCGGACGGGUGGGUAAUGACUAGGAAUCUGCCUGGUGGUGGGGGAUAACGUCCGGAAAGGGGCGCUAAUACCGCAUGCUAUCAGAGGAGCCUAGGUUGGAUUAGAUAGGUGGUGGGGUAAAGGCCUACCAAGGCGACGAUCCGUAGCUGGUCUGAGAGGAUGAUCAGUCACACUGGAACUGAGACACGGUCCAGACUCCUACGGGAGGCAGCAGUGGGGAAUAUUGGACAAUGGGCGAAAACCUGAUCCAGCCAUGCCGCGUGUGUGAAGAAGGUCUUCGGAUUGUAAAGCACUUUAAGUUGGGAGGCGUUACCAACAGAAUAAGCACCGGCUAACUUCGUGCCAGCAGCCGCGGUAAUAC
Molecule: ribosomal RNA, 407 nt
Filed under: uncultured bacterium
Lineage: Bacteria
Description: partial 16S ribosomal RNA
Rfam family: Bacterial small subunit ribosomal RNA
Source: RNAcentral